GACGAACGCUGGCGGCGUGCUUAACACAUGCAAGUCGAACGGAAAGGCCCUGCUUGCAGGGUACUCGAGUGGCGAACGGGGGGGUAACACGUGGGUGAUCUGCCCUGCACUUCGGGAUAAGCCUUGGUAACUGGGUAUAAUAUCGGAUAGAAGCCAUUUUGAGUUUGAUGGGGGGAGAGUUUUUUUGGUGUCGGGUGAGGGCGCGGCCUAUCAGGUUGUUGGUGGGGUAAUGGCCUACCGAGGCGGAGACGGGUAGCCGGACCGGGUGGGUGGACGGCCUCAUUCGGACUGGGACUCGGCCACGGCCCCUACGGCAGGCAGAAGUGGCGAAUAUUGAUCAAUGGGCGCGAGCCUGAUCCAGAGCCACCGCGUCCGGGAUGACGGCCUUCGCGUUGUAGUUUCCUUUCGCUAGGGCCGAAGCUUUUUGUGACGGUACCUAGAUAAGAAGCACCGGCUAACUCCGUG
RNAcentral lists this ribosomal RNA (465 nucleotides) under uncultured bacterium. Its description in RNAcentral is "partial 16S ribosomal RNA". It matches the Rfam family "Bacterial small subunit ribosomal RNA", at positions 28 to 507 of the family's 1533-position model. The record is from RNAcentral.